Dreissena polymorpha is the source of this 630-nucleotide long non-coding RNA. RefSeq lists it as uncharacterized. NCBI's taxonomy places the organism in Eukaryota, Metazoa, Mollusca, Bivalvia, Myida, Dreissenidae. The transcript has 3 exons. The record is from RefSeq and is a predicted model, not a curated record.
CGUUUAUUCGUUCGAGAUCGGAGUUAAGCGUAGCUGCAGCGUGGACUGGAUUGUCGACUACAACAUAAUGGAUAGUGUCGUCGGCAAAUAACCUGUUGUUUGCUUUAAUAUCUAGAACAAUAUCAUUAAUAAAGAUUUUAAAAAAAGAAGAGGCCCUAAAAUUGAGCCGCCCUUUGGUACUCCAGCGUUGAUAUGAGACCAAUUGGAUUCUGCGUUUGGAAGAACAACGUUUUGUUUGCGGUUUGUAAGAGGUAUGGGGUCUUGAGAACAGUAUUCCUCAGCGGGUAGGAGCAAGAGCUCAAGAACGGGAGAUUGAAAACCUGCGGCUGCCCACAUGCAUCGUAUAGUGGGGAAUUGGCGGCUUGACAUUGUCAACAUUACGGAGGUCAAUCGAAGCCAAUUUAUUACUUUUUACACCGCCAAAGGUAUUGGUAUUGCACCUGGGCGGAAGACAAAGUGAUCUAUGCACGGACGCAUGUACAAAGGAGACGCCAAGGCGCCUGAAGCAGCCCAGCGCCGUCGAAAAGACAUGGUCCUUUGAUGGGAAUUUUUUUCGCUUUGUUUACAGAAAACCAACAUGCUACCAAAGUAAAAUUCUCUGAUGUCAAGAACUGGCUAAAAAAGCCGUGG